This 292-nucleotide ribosomal RNA is filed under the name uncultured bacterium. RNAcentral's name for it is "partial 16S ribosomal RNA". The record is from RNAcentral.
GGACUACAGGGGUAUCUAAUCCGGAUCGCUCCCCACGCUUUCGCGCCUCAGCGUCAGGCCGGGCCCAGGCAGCCGCCUUCGCCACUGGUGUUCCUCCGGAGCUCUACGCAUUCCACCACUACACCCGGAAUUCCACUGCCCUCUACCCGCCUCCAGCCUCGCAGUCUCGCCCGACCCCUCCGAGUUAAGCCCGGAGAUUUCACGGCCGACUUGCCAGGCCGCCUGCGCGCGCUUUACGCCCAAUGAAUCCGGACAACGCUCGCCCCCUACGUAUUACCGCGGCGGCUGGCAC